GAUGAACGCUGGCGGCGUGCCUAAUACAUGCAAGUCGAGCGAACAGACGAGGAGCUUGCUCCACUGACGGUAGCGGCGGAAGUGUGAGUAACACGUGGAUAACCUACCUAUAGAACUGGGAGAACUUCGUGAAACCGGAGCUCAUACCGGAUAAUAUAUUGAACCGCAUGGUGCAAUAGUGAAAUACGGCUUUGCUGUCUCUUAUAGAUGAAUCCGCGCCGCAUUAGCUAUUUGGUAAGGUAACGGCUUACCAAGGCAACGAUGCGUAGCCGACCUGAGAGGGUGAUCGGCCACACUGGAACUGAGACACGGUCCAGACUCCUACGGGAGGCAGCAGUAGGGAAUCUUCCGCAAUGGGCGCAAGCCUGACGGAGCAACGCCGCGUGAGUGAUGAAGGUCUUCGGAUCGUAAACCUCUGUUAUUAGGGAAGAACAAAUGUGUAAGUAACUAUGCACGUCUUGACGGUACCUAAUCAGAAAGCCACGGCUAACUACGUG
This 497-nucleotide ribosomal RNA is filed under the name uncultured bacterium. RNAcentral describes it as "partial 16S ribosomal RNA". It matches the Rfam family "Bacterial small subunit ribosomal RNA", at positions 28 to 507 of the family's 1533-position model. The record is from RNAcentral.